Lolium perenne is the source of this 2687-nucleotide non-coding RNA. Lineage: Eukaryota; Viridiplantae; Streptophyta; Magnoliopsida; Poales; Poaceae. The record is from RefSeq and is a predicted model, not a curated record.
CCGGCCGGUAGCAGCACCGACCUUGGGCUCGAGCGCUGCCUCCAUUUGGCUCGGGCGCACGGAGCAGGGCCGCCGGUGGAGGCCGCCGCCCCCAAGGUAUGUUGGGCGCGAGCGCCGCCUCCUGCCGUCUCCAUCACCGGCCGGUAGCAGCAUCGAUCUUGGGCUCGAGCGCCGCCUCGAUUCGUCACCAUGCCCGGCUGGGAGCAGCGCCGGUGAGCCCCACCUCCCCUUAUCGCCAUGGCUGGCCGGUAGCCGCGCCGGCCUUGGGAGCGAGCGGCGACGGGUGGCUGAGGUCCCCAUCACCGUCGCCAUCUUCCCCGAGUUCCAGGAUCCAAAUCGAGUUCCCCGAGGUCCCCAUCACCCUACAACCCGGUGGUUUGCCGGUCGGCCAGCGGUCAUCUCUCUCUCCAUUCUUCCUCUCACAGAUUGGUCAGAGAUUGGUUUGUAUGCUUGCCGGCCGCCCAGGCAGCCAGGGAUCAAUCAGAUCUGCAGGAAAAAAAACGUGAAAUGUGAUCUACUAUGUGCUUUGCAAGACCGGCUUUUAGUUAAGCAGUGAUGCUUAUUUAUUAGGCACGGAAGAAUGGUUCUGGAAAAGGGGAGUGAUCUCAUGCUUUGAAAAUGUCAGCAAUGAAUCACAAAGGUGCCACUUGUCUUCCUGGAAGGUUGGUGUAGGAUGCAGUUCCAAAUUUUGCUUCAACGUCCUCAUAUGGUACACUGGUUAUUUGGGAAAUGGUGGUUCAGCUCACUGCUAGUGGAGCUGCCACAAGAUUUGAAAUGAUUCUUUUCUUGUGCUCUUUGAUCUACACAUUUUCCAUCGGUAUGGUUUGACCACAUGGAUUUGAGGUCAUGCAUUGCAGCCACAAUCUGGCCAUUCUCUUGUUUCAAAAGAAUGAAGGUGUGGAUGUUUGUCUAUUCGCCAAGUAUGUGCAAGAGUAUGGUUCUGCUAGCCCAUCACCAAACCGAAGGCAUGUUUAUCUUGCAUAUAUUGAUUUUGUCAAGUACUUGAGGCCUGAAAUCAAAUCUACAAGUGGGGAAGCUAUCCGUACCUUCGUGUAUUUGGACUACUUCAAGAAACAAGGAUUUGUAAGCCUCUCCAUAUGGGCUUGCCCAUCUACAAAGCGUAAUGACUAUGUUUUGUACUGUCAUCCCACGUCACAGAAAAUGCCAAAGCCUCACAAGCUUUGGAGCUGGUACCAGAACUUCGUCAACAAGGCUGUUAAGGAGGGUGUAGUUGUGGAGCGUAAUACAUUGGCCUGUUGUCGGGGUGUGUACGUGGUAAGUGCACUAUGGUUCAGCCUUCUUUGUACCUCGCUUGAGCAUCCUGCCGGCCCACAGAUGUCCAGAAAGACAUGUGCGUGUAUUUCGUGCUGGUCGUCGAGCAUGGAUGCAUUCAGAUUUUAAGAUUUCGGUUAAGUUCUGUCCUUGCUUCUGAUAUGAUCCAUGACGGGAAAUAAGAAAAGAGUCUUUUUUUGCUUUAGUAGCACAACGUACAGAAAAGCAUUAGCAUUGCUGCAAUUGUUGCAAGUAAAUCAGAGAGGUGGCAGCGCUACAUUGUUAGUAGUAGGUCCUAUGAAAAAUCUCUAGAAUUAGAAGAGUGUAGUGUGUCAUUGCUUUAACUGUGCUUAAAGGCCCAGGAGGGGCCUUGCCUCACCGUGGGUGUGCAGGGUUCAGGAUUGGUUUUUUUUUAGUUGUUCGUUAGUCUAACAGAUGUAUCCUAAAUACUCAGUGACCACAGAGUGAUGUGUGUCCAUAUAUUUCGACUCCCAUCUUGAUAAUUACUGUUAUUCUGCACCAGUGAAUUAGUAUGUCCUGUAAGAAGAGCAGAAACUAUCCUAGAUACUCAUGGUGGCAAAAAUUGAUGUGUCCAGAAACUAUAUUUGGGACCCCAUCUGACUUGUGCCAAUGGAUGAGGUAUGGCAAUAAUAUUCUUAUUUUUCCAAGCUGGUAUACUGAUUUCAUUCAUCCUACUUCUGAUGAAACAUGAGAAGUUGAGCCAAGAAGCAGACGUUAUUUGGUAUGCUCAUAUUCAUUUAAUUAUCAUGUUUUUAAGGCCUAACAUUACGAAACUAUGCUACAGAUGAGGGUAAGUAAAUCAGGGCUUGCUAUAUUUGAAUAUGCUAUGGAAUCAAGAAAGAAUAAUAACUUUUUUGAUGGCAUGUUGUUAGUUAUGUAUGAUCAAUUUUGAAGUGUCUCAUGAGUUAUAGCAUGCAAAAAACCAUGACCAAUAUUCCUGAAACACUUCAACAAGGGGAUGGUUAUCUCCUACUUUUUAAAAUGAGACGUUGGUUAGGAUACAAACAAAUCUUUGUAAGUUUCUCUUUUUUCUGAUUAAUAUGACUAAUUUUUUUCCUAUAUGUGGAUACAAAUAUUUGUGCAAAACCUGUGGAGACUGAUAUUCCUGGUAGUUUGCUAUAUCCUAGGUACCAUGUAAUACUAAUCUUUGUAUGUUAUUUUGGGAAGAAAAUUAUUUGGGAACUUUCAAAUAAUUUUGCUUGAAACAGAUGCUAUCUAUCUUAUGUUUGAUUUUUCAUAUUCUUUCCCUUCUUAACUUCUGUGAUUAUUUUUAGGCAACCUCUGUCAGUAGAUAUUGUCCUAGAACUGAUAAUAUUUAUAUUUUAGGCCUAAGAUAUAUGUUUAUGGAUAACACAUUUAUUCAGUGUACACUCUUCCUAUUGUCAGGUCCCAUA